This 500-nucleotide ribosomal RNA is filed under the name Mesobacillus thioparans. RNAcentral's name for it is "bacterial SSU rRNA". It matches the Rfam family "Bacterial small subunit ribosomal RNA", at positions 83 to 568 of the family's 1533-position model. Lineage: Bacteria; Bacillati; Bacillota; Bacilli; Caryophanales; Bacillaceae. The record is from RNAcentral.
AUUUGAAUAUCAGCGGCGGACGGGUGAGUAACACGUGGGCAACCUGCCUGUAAGACUGGGAUAACUUCGGGAAACCGGAGCUAAUACCGGAUAAUCCUUUCCCUCACAUGAGGGAAAGCUGAAAGACGGUUUCGGCUGUCACUUACAGAUGGGCCCGCGGCGCAUUAGCUAGUUGGUGAGGUAACGGCUCACCAAGGCAACGAUGCGUAGCCGACCUGAGAGGGUGAUCGGCCACACUGGGACUGAGACACGGCCCAGACUCCUACGGGAGGCAGCAGUAGGGAAUCUUCCGCAAUGGACGAAAGUCUGACGGAGCAACGCCGCGUGAACGAUGAAGGCUUUCGGGUCGUAAAGUUCUGUUGUUAGGGAAGAACAAGUACCGGAGUAACUGCCGGUACCUUGACGGUACCUAACCAGAAAGCCACGGCUAACUACGUGCCAGCAGCCGCGGUAAUACGUAAGUGGCAAGCGUUGUCCGGGAAUUAUUGGGCGUAAAGCGC